CAGCCCCUUCGACCGGCCCACUCCCCAGUCCCCACCCCACGAACUUCCCAACCACCACCACCUCUCGCUCUCGCACCACGUCUGGGCUCUGCCCCAUCCUUCCGCCGCCGCCGACGACCUGGCUCCGGCGCACCUCCUCCCGCCGCCGCCCUGGCUCCAGAGCACCUCCUUCCUCCGCCCCUCGGCCCAAGCACGCCACCCGUCUCCGCCCAUCCCACUCCUCGGCCUGACGGGCGUCCCACCGCUGCCCCGUCCCCGACGCACCACCUACCGCCGGCCCGCUCGCCCCAAUGCCCCACCUGCUGCUGGCCACCUGAGCCGCCGCCCUCAUUCGCGUGCUGUGCCGUGGUGACGCGCGCCCGUCCCUCCCUUUGCCCUGCUGCCAAAUCCACAACGCGCACCCCCGCGACCCUCUCCCAGAUUCACCGGUACAGGUGAUGGUCGCGCCGCCUAUGGGGAGCCCAUAGUGUUUGAUGCAUCUCUCGGUCACCGCGUCCCGCUCCUCUUCCACCUCCUGCAGCGGCUGCGAGAUCCUCUCGUUCUUCUUCUUUGUAUGUGCCUCGCCGGUGACAUCCGCUGGUGGUGGUGUAGCGGCCACCGCUGCUGCUGGUGGUGGUGGUUAGGAGGAGGAAGAAGAUGCAGAUCAUUACAGAUGGGGCAGGGCGUCGACAGGAGAAGCAGGGCGCGAUGGUGGCCAUGAGCCAUGGCAUCCAACUUCCUCUUGUUCACUGUAGUGCCGCCGCAUUCUCUGGCAUGGCCCCGGCGCUGCACGCCUCUGCCCGAUCUCCCGGCUCGCAACGGCGCGAUUCUUCACAUACUACCGGAUUUCAUCGGAGGAGGUCCCCCUGCUGCACCUCCGCCUCCUGGGUCCCGCUGGCGGAACUCGCCUGUUACUCCUCAUGGCUGCACUACUCUCUCUUACUCUCCCUCUCUCUCUUUCUGAUUGAGGCGAUUUAAUCGGAACAAAUUCAUGUACAUGCUUGAUUGCAAGUAUUUUUUCCUAGAUGCGAACAAGAACCCAUGGCUUGCUA
This is a long non-coding RNA of Triticum dicoccoides, 1031 nucleotides long. RefSeq lists it as uncharacterized. The transcript is spliced from 2 exons. NCBI's taxonomy places the organism in Eukaryota, Viridiplantae, Streptophyta, Magnoliopsida, Poales, Poaceae. The record is from RefSeq and is a predicted model, not a curated record.